RNAcentral lists this ribosomal RNA (497 nucleotides) under uncultured bacterium. Its description in RNAcentral is "partial 16S ribosomal RNA". It matches the Rfam family "Bacterial small subunit ribosomal RNA", at positions 28 to 507 of the family's 1533-position model. The record is from RNAcentral.
GAUGAACGCUGGCGGCGUGCCUAAUACAUGCCAGUCGAGCGAACAGACGAGGAGCUUGCUCCUCUGACGUUAGCGGCGGACGGGUGAGUAACACGUGGAUAACCUACCUAUAAGACUGGGAUAACUUCGGGAAACCGGAGCUAAUACCGGAUAAUAUAUUGAACCGCAUGGUUCAAUAGUGAAAGACGGGUUUGCUGUCACUUAUAGAUGGAUCCGCGCCGCAUUAGCUAGUUGGUAAGGUAACGGCUUACCAAGGCAACGAUGCGUAGCCGACCUGAGAGGGUGAUCAGCCACACUGGAACUGAGACACGGUCCAGACUCCUACGGGAGGCAGCAGUAGGGAAUCUUCCGCAAUGGGCGAAAGCCUGACGGAGCAACGCCGCGUGAGUGAUGAAGGUCUUCGGAUCGUAAAACUCUGUUAUUAGGGAAGAACAAAUGUGUAAGUAACUAUGCACGUCUUGACGGUACCUAAUCAGAAAGCCACGGCUAACUACGUG